UACGGGGGGAGCAAGCGUUGUUCGGAUUUACUGGGCGUAAAGGGCGCGUAGGCGGCCAGCACAAGUCAGUUGUGAAAUCUCCGGGCUUAACUCGGAAAGGUCAACUGAUACUGUGCGGCUAGAGUGCAGAAGGGACAACUGGAAUUCUCGGUGUAGCGGUGAAAUGCGUAGAUAUCGAGAGGAACACCGGUGGCGAAGGCGGCCCACUGGUCCGGUACUGACGCUGAGGUGCGAAAGCGUGGGGAGCAAACAGG
This 254-nucleotide ribosomal RNA is filed under the name uncultured bacterium. RNAcentral's name for it is "partial 16S ribosomal RNA". It matches the Rfam family "Bacterial small subunit ribosomal RNA", at positions 524 to 776 of the family's 1533-position model. The record is from RNAcentral.